CUCAAGGCACAGAGGGACCGGGAGAGACGCCUGGCGAGGCGUCCCCUCGGCGACUCGCCCGACGCCGCGCUCCCCGGACUCGCGCCGACUGAGCUGGCACAGAACCGGACUUAAAAAGGGGGGUCUAGAGGAACGGAAGAAAAAUGACUCGAUACUCUUGGCUGUAUCUACUACGGCAGUGGACCUCUUGGCUGGACUCCUUGUUCUGUUCCCGCAUCUAAAUCUUAACGAAGAAUAUGAACUUCUUGAAGGCAAGGACUCCUCUCAUAUAUUUAAUAUUCUCAGUGCCUAGCACGAUAUGGAACUUUUAGUCAACAUGCAAUAACUGUUUAACAAGAGAAUAAGUGGAUUACGUGGCACUGUGUCAUUUAUGGUGAAAGGAAGUUGUGCAUUAUAAUAUGGUCUUAUUAUCAUCUGGAAUUGUUUGAUCAUCCCAUGGACUAAUGGAGAUUUCAAUUCUCUGUUGAAAUUAUAUUAGCUCAAGCAGUAUAACCAAACUCUGAUGGAGACUGCAGGGUUGUAGACAGAGUAAAUGACUUCUGUUUUCUAUCGAACUUGUCCCCCAACCUCCUUCUAUGGUUCAGGGCCUUUACUCCUGGAUAACAGCGGCAUACCAUUUGGCCAUUAUAGGCUGAAAGCCUUUUGCUCCCAUCUUCCCAAAUAUUUCCAAUGUCCCACGUCUGUGUCUAGGAGAGGUAGCUUUACUUGCUCUGUAUUGCUCUGCUGCUGGACAGGGAACUUAAAAAAUCAGACCACUGCACGUGAAGAUUAAGCUCCUGCUACCACCAUCCAUCUCUAGAACUUUUCCAUCAUCCCCACCUCUGUUCCCAUUAGACACUGACUUCUCAUUCUCCCCUAUUCCAGGCCAUAGUAACCACUAUUGUACUUUCUGUUUCUGUGAAUUUGGUUAUUCUAGUUAUCUCAUAUAAGUAGGAUCAUACAAUAUGUGUUCAUUUGUGUCUGUCUUAUUUCACUCAGCAUAUUGUUUUCAAGAUUCAUCCAUGUUGUAUCAUGACUCAGAAUUCCAAUGCUUUUUGAGGCAGAAUAAUAUUCCAUUGUAUGUGUGUGUAUAUAUAUAUAUAUAUAUAUAUACACACCACAUUUUGUUU
Molecule: non-coding RNA, 1109 nt
Organism: Leptonychotes weddellii (Weddell seal)
Lineage: Eukaryota; Metazoa; Chordata; Mammalia; Carnivora; Phocidae
Source: RefSeq, a predicted model, not a curated record